Molecule: long non-coding RNA, 4575 nt
Organism: Scylla paramamosain (green mud crab)
Lineage: Eukaryota; Metazoa; Arthropoda; Malacostraca; Decapoda; Portunidae
Exons: 4
Source: RefSeq, a predicted model, not a curated record
CUUCAGCCAUUCGCCCUGCGCCCGCUGACGUGACGAGUCCCCGGUUGUGUUACGGCGGUGAGGCGGUGUUGCGUCUGUCCCUGGCGGGCAUGUUGUGGUGGACUGCGGUGUGGAGGGAGAGGUGGAUGUGAGUAUGGCCUGGUGGUGGAUAGGGAGGAGUGGAUAGUGGAAGAGAGAUGUGGAGAGUAGGAUGGUGGAAGGGGGAGGUGGAGGUGGCUAUGGCGGACGUGACUGGGUUGAGGUGGUGGUUGUGGUGGUGUUUGGUAUGGUUGCAAUGGUUGUAGAGGGUGUUGCUAGUGAUGGUGAACGUGACUGGCUUAUGUUAAAGGUGGUUGUGGUUGUUGGGGAUGGUGGUGGUUGUGUGACAGUGGUGGGUGCAGCGGACGCAACGGUGUUGUGGUUGUUGGGUGUGGUUGAGGAUUGCGAUGGUGGUGGUGGUGGAGGUGGAGGUGAUAGGUGGCGGUGGUCGUAGUCGGAGCGGGCUAAGCGGUGGUGGUGGUAGUGUAAAAAGGAAGUGGUGGUGGUGGCGGUGAUACGAUUAUCAGGGAUGAGAGAGAGAGAGAGAGAGAGAGAGAGAGAGAGAGAGAGAGAGAGAGAGAGAGAGAGAGAGAAUGUGUGUGUGUGUGUACUCCUAUAAUCAGCAAAUUGCAGUCACUCGUUCGCUGUUUCACCUCCCUGUUUCAGGCCUUCUCUCCCCUUCCCUUCCUCCCCGCUCCCUUCCUAGCCUGCCCGCCACCCUCUCCCCGCUUUUCCCUGCCUGUCCUCCCCUGCUCCUCGUGUCCCAGGUGACCCAUAAACUACCUCUAACAAUUGUGAUGAAGAACCAGGAGUGGGUUGUAGGUGACGAGAUAACUACCCCAGGUCAUCCCAGAAGUGGCGAGGUGACCCCAUACAGCUCCACAAGGUCGUGGAGGACGCCAGACAUAGCCACGUGGUCGCCUACACUCAGCCAUCCACCUCACCUACCCCAGACUGCUACCCGGACACCAUCCAGCCACUAGAACCCAGAUAAGCACUUCCGGGGUCCUUGGUUGUGGUUAGCUAGCUAGUUUGUUUAGGGGUCACUUGCUGUACAUAGGAACCCUCCUCGGUCUGAUGCUAUUUUUUUAUUUUAUUUUUGAGGUGUAACGCUGUGCUCUACGUGAGAGUGAUAGUGUUUAUCUUUAUUUAUUUAUUUUUUUUUUUUCCUGAAGACCAGUUCUGAGGUUAUCUUGGAGGUUAACGGAGAAGAGUUCUUCACACCUGUGUUUGUUGUUUUUUUUUUAUUUUUUUUAUUGGUCGUUUUUUGUUUUUUUGUUGUGAUUGUUAUUAAUUUUAUUUAUUUGUAUUGAAAUAUGUGAGUGUGAAUGCAGCACAAUAUAUAAAGGUGUGCAUUCCAGAGUGAAAGGAAGGCGUGCACAGGGUAGAGUGCACAGGAUGCAGUGCCUUGUUUUUAUCACCAGACCUUGAUUGAUUGAAGCAAAUGAAAACUUUGGUGUGAGUACCUUACAAAGACACUUGACAAUACUAAUGUCACCUCACCUCGUGGUUUCACCUUAAACCUACAAACAUUGGCUGGACACAAGGUCAUAGAAAUAAUUUAUUCUCAUUUAUUCUCAUCUUUACAAAUUACAGUCUUUACACAUCAAAGUAACUAAUCACCUUUAUUCAUCCACUUGAGGGGGUUGAAGGAUCGCUAAUCCCAUUUUAAAUUGCCUGUGUUCAACUCGCCUCUCCUCCCUCAUUUAUUGACCAAUUCAUUUAAAAAAUAUUUUGAUCAGGAAGGUUGCAGGAAGAAUGUCUGCUAUCUUUUUUUUUUUUUGUACGAUAAGUCUUUUUUUUCAAUGAAAAAAAAAGAAAACUGUGUCAAAUAUUUACUUUCAAAUAUUUGUCAGAAAUCAAAAUCAGUUACAAACAAAAAUGACGACAGCAGACUUUGUUCGCCUCUCACAGCUUGAUAAGCCGCAAUGGCCCAUUUGUGUGUAACACCAAUAACAACGGAGAUCAUUUUUAUAUGCCAAAAUCCGCCAUUUUAAGUUAUGUCAAAGUUUAAGGGGUGACUAUAAUACACCUAUUGCAGCUAAGGACUUGAAAUUCACAUGAUAUAUACAUCACAAUAUGUUGAAAAACAGAUAUAGAUUAAUUUAGUUACUACGAUUGGUUUUGUACAUAGGCCUAAAGUAAUUCAUGAUUUCACCCUUAAUUACCCGGGGGGGAGGGGGGGAAGGCGGGUGAAAACAAUUUUUGUUAUAUUUCGACUUUUAGAUCAAAACCAGUGUUUAACUGUUUGAAAUAAAUAAAAUAUUAAUGCAAAAGAUAUCUAAUGCAGGACACAUUGACUAUUUCCUAGAUUUACGGAAAAAUAUUUAUCUCAUUUUUCGUAUAUAAAUUUGAAAAAAAAUAGUUAGACCUAAAAUUACGUACUCUCUAAUGUUGUACGCAGCAAAAGAACCGUAGAUAUUCAUAGGAGACUGAGGAAGAACGGGUACGCCAGAAAGAAAAAAAAAAAAAAAAGUCAUGUCUCGCAGCGGGCGAAACCGUGAAAUUUCAUAACAGAAGACCUCAUUACAUUAGGGGAUAUAUAUAUAUAUAUAUAUAUAUAUAUAUAUAUAUAUAUAUAUAUAUAUAUAUAUAUAUAUAUAUAUAUAUAUAUAUAUAUAUAUAUAUAUAUAUAUAUAUAUAUAUAUAUAUAUAUAUAUAUAUAUAUAUAUAUAUAUCAAAACAUUACAUAUAUAAAAAAUGGGACAAGAUACAGAUAUGAGACUGUGAUCGGAGGAGCCCAACGGAGAAGAAAGGGUGACAGCAUAAGCAGAAGGAUUAGAGGUCAGGAAAAGGUCAAGAAUGUUGGGCCUAUCUUCAAGACGUCAGGAAUACGAGUAAGGUGUUGCACCAAUUGCUUUAGGUCGUGGAGAAUAGCAAAGUCUAAGGCUAGUUUACCAGGAUGGUCAGUGACGGGAGAGGAAAGCCAAAGUUGGUGGUGAACAUUGAAGUCAGUCUCCAAGAAUUAAGAUCUCUGCAAAAGGGAAGAGAGUCAAUGUGCUCCACUUUGGAAGUUAAGUAGUCAAAGAAUUUUUCAUAGUCAGAAGAGUUAUUUGAGAGGUAUACAGCACAGAUAAAUUUAGUUUGAGAGUGACUCUGUUGUCGUACCCAGGUGGUGGAAAACUCAGAAGAUUCAAGAGAGUGGAAAGCAGGUUAAGUCAUUGCGCACAUGAACACAGCAUCCAGCUUUGGAUCGAAAAUGAGGAUAGAGAAAGUAGGAGGAAACAGAAAAGGGGCUACUAUCAGUUGCCUCAGACAUCUGAGUUUUAGUGACGAAAGGAUGAUGAAGCUUAAUAGAGGAGAGGCAGUGUUCUACAGAUUGAACGCGAAUGUUGCAGAAGUUUAUGAAGAAAAACUGAGAGGGGUAUCAAGACAUUUAGGGUCGUUACCAGAAGAGCAGUCUGACCCGGGGACAAUUGUGGUCCGCUCACCAGAUGGGGUCUCCGAGGCUGGUGUAGGAGUAUGUGUGUAAUAAUUAGGUGCUGGUAGUUGUUUUGUGUGCAGGAAGAGAGAUAUCUCCAUGACUAUAACGUUUGGUACGAUUGAAAACAUCCUUUGAUUUCCACAGAUAUGUACACACACUAGUAACAGUUUUCAACUGUAGCACCAGAAACAGUCUUCCUCACACGAACCGUUUCACUGCCGGGACUUGAAGGCUGAUGAAGCAGUGCGGCGGAGGUCACGCCUCUCAGAGUGUUUAUACUUGUUGUCAACACCGCCAUAACUAAUACAAACUCUUUAGUGCAGGUAGUUAAAUAACUGCAAUCAUUGUUCCAGAUUCCUAAAUUCACAAAGUGCAUAACUCAUUCCAAGUUUUUAUUGCAGAUAAUUAAAGUUUUAGUGAAAUAAUUAUUCCUAUUCCUAAUGUUGUGUGGUGCAUUAUCUCAGACAGGCCCACUGGAAGCUGUCAGAGUGCUGUGGCACGUGGCAAGAACCAAGUGUUCAGGAGCACACACUGUCCCUUCACCAGUCAGCAGAUCUGGGCGGCUUGGGAGCCUCACUACAAACUGAAGACCCGUUCACUUGAAGGACAGUUGGAGUCGGACACAAGAUCCAAGAGGGAGUUAUUUUUAAACGAGAGCUUCAGGCAGAAAAUUCGAGUGGAUUUUCAACUCUAAAAAUAACUUUUUUGGGGGGAUAUUUUGAACCUUCUUUAUCUUGAAAAAUAACUCCAGAUAUUAUGACUCUAGCUGGAUGUUGACCUGAGCAAUGUAGGGUUUGCUGCAGUGAGAUUACCAAGGCACGAGUGUCUGGGAUUUAAAGAUGAUGGAUAUGUGUCCUGUGUGCUGCUGUGCUGGGAGGAGAGGAGCAGCAGCAGUCGUGGGGCUCUGUUGCUGCUGUCACUGGUGCAGCUGUUCACUCCUGCAGCUACCUUCCCUCAACAUACUGUGUCUUCCCUCACCUGCAAUGAACAACUAUGAACAAUACUUCUCCUGCGAUGAGGAACAGUGAAUAACCUCUCUCUCUCUCUCUCUCUCUCUCUCUCUCUCUCUCUCUCUCUCUCUCUCUCUCUCUCUCUCUCUCUCUCUCUCUCUCUCUCUCUCUCUCUCUCUCUCU